This is a long non-coding RNA of Camponotus floridanus (Florida carpenter ant), 223 nucleotides long. RefSeq lists it as uncharacterized. The record is from RefSeq and is a predicted model, not a curated record. The transcript has 2 exons. NCBI's taxonomy places the organism in Eukaryota, Metazoa, Arthropoda, Insecta, Hymenoptera, Formicidae.
UGUAACCAACCCAGAUGAUCUGAGAGGAGGAGCAGGCCUAGGAAGGCAUCUUGCACCAGCGGAACAACCUGAUGACAACAUAGCUUCAAUAUCAAUUCCGCUGUUGCGCAUCAGUGCCGGUAAGUGACAACUUUUUAUUUUGAAGCAAAGGAUUUGUAAAUGCAUGAAGAAAUCCGUUGCUUCUAACUCUUGAUUGGCGGGACAAUACGUGUAAAAAUUAAAG